UAAGUGCCCUCUGUUAGGAUGA
Molecule: microRNA, 22 nt
Filed under: Sarcophilus harrisii (Tasmanian devil)
Lineage: Eukaryota; Metazoa; Chordata; Mammalia; Dasyuromorphia; Dasyuridae
Description: Sha-Mir-430-o27_3p* (star (passenger))
Source: RNAcentral